AUGCACGCUGGCGGCGUGCCUAAUACCUGCAAGUCGAGCGAACAGACGAGGAGCUUGCUCCUCUGACGUUAGCGGCGGACGGGUGAGUAACACGUGGAUAACCUACCUAUAAGACUGGGAUAACUUCGGGAAACCGGAGCUAAUACCGGAUAAUAUAUUGAACCGCAUGGCUCAAUAGUGAAAGACGGUUUUGCUGUCACUUAUAGAUGGAUCCGCGCCGCAUUAGCUAGUUGGUAAGGUAACGGCUUACCAAGGCAACGAUGCGUAGCCGACCUGAGAGGGUGAUCGGCCACACUGGAACUGAGACACGGUCCAGACUCCUACGGGAGGCAGCAGUAGGGAAUCUUCCGCAAUGGGCGAAAGCCUGACGGAGCAACGCCGCGUGAGUGAUGAAGGUCUUCGGAUCGUAAAACUCUGUUAUUAGGGAAGAACAAAUGUGUAAGUAACUAUGCACGUCUUGACGGUACCUAAUCAGAAAGCCACGGCUAACUACGUG
RNAcentral lists this ribosomal RNA (496 nucleotides) under uncultured bacterium. RNAcentral's name for it is "partial 16S ribosomal RNA". It matches the Rfam family "Bacterial small subunit ribosomal RNA", at positions 29 to 507 of the family's 1533-position model. The record is from RNAcentral.